GAGGCUUUAAGUUAAAUUGAAACUACUGGUCUUCAAAAUCAGAGAUGGGGAGCCAUGCCUUG
This 62-nucleotide transfer RNA is filed under the name Terebratalia transversa. RNAcentral describes it as "tRNA-Trp". The record is from RNAcentral. Lineage: Eukaryota; Metazoa; Brachiopoda; Rhynchonellata; Terebratulida; Laqueidae.